This 169-nucleotide small nuclear RNA is filed under the name Salvator merianae (Argentine black and white tegu). RNAcentral's name for it is "U1 spliceosomal RNA (ENSSMRG00000018971.1)". It matches the Rfam family "U1 spliceosomal RNA". Rfam says of the family: U1 is a small nuclear RNA (snRNA) component of the spliceosome (involved in pre-mRNA splicing). Lineage: Eukaryota; Metazoa; Chordata; Lepidosauria; Squamata; Teiidae. The record is from Rfam by way of RNAcentral.
AUAAGGCCAAGUGCAGAAAGGGCCCUUGAUCAUGAAGGUGGUUUUCCCAGGGUGAGGCUCAGCCAUUGAACUCUGGCUGUGUUAACCCCUGCAAUUUCCCCAAAUGCAGGAAACUUGACUGCAUAAUUUGUGGUAGUGGGGGAGGGACUGUUGUGUGCGCUUUCCCCUG